AUUGAACGCUGGCGGCAGGCCUAACACAUGCAAGUCGAACGGUAGCACAGAGAGCUUGCUCUCGGGUGACGAGUGGCGGACGGGUGAGUAAUGUCUGGGAAACUGCCCGAUGGAGGGGGAUAACUACUGGAAACGGUAGCUAAUACCGCAUAAUGUCGCAAGACCAAAGAGGGGGACCUUCGGGCCUCUUGCCAUCGGAUGUGCCCAGAUGGGAUUAGCUUGUAGGUGAGGUAACGGCUCACCUAGGCGACGAUCCCUAGCUGGUCUGAGAGGAUGACCAGCCACACUGGAACUGAGACACGGUCCAGACUCCUACGGGAGGCAGCAGUGGGGAAUAUUGCACAAUGGGCGCAAGCCUGAUGCAGCCAUGCCGCGUGUAUGAAGAAGGCCUUCGGGUUGUAAAGUACUUUCAGCGGGGAGGAAGGGAGUGAGGUUAAUAACCUUAUUCAUUGACGUUACCCGCAGAAGAGGCACCGGCUAACUCCGUGCCAGCAGCCGCGGUAAUACGGAGGGUGCAAGCGUUAAUCGGAAUUACUGGGCGUAAAGCGCACGCAGGCGGUCUGUCAAGUCGGAUGUGAAAUCCCCGGGCUCAACCUGGGAACUGCAUUCGAAACUGGCAGGCUGGAGUCUUGUAGAGGGGGGUAGAAUUCCAGGUGUAGCGGUGAAAUGCGUAGAGAUCUGGAGGAAUACCGGUGGCGAAGGCGGCCCCCUGGACAAAGACUGACGCUCAGGUGCGAAAGUGUGGGGAGCAAACAGGAUUAGAUACCCUGGUAGUCCACGCUGUAAACGAUGUCGACUUGGAGGUUGUUCCCUUGAGGAGUGGCUUCCGGAGCUAACGCGUUAAGUCGACCGCCUGGGGAGUACGGCCGCAAGGUUAAAACUCAAAUGAAUUGACGGGGGCCCGCACAAGCGGUGGAGCAUGUGGUUUAAUUCGAUGCAACGCGAAGAACCUUACCUACUCUUGACAUCCAGAGAACUUAGCAGAGAUGCUUUGGUGCCUUCGGGAACUCUGAGACAGGUGCUGCAUGGCUGUCGUCAGCUCGUGUUGUGAAAUGUUGGGUUAAGUCCCGCAACGAGCGCAACCCUUAUCCUUUGUUGCCAGCGGUCCGGCCGGGAACUCAAAGGAGACUGCCAGUGAUAAAUUGGAGGAAGGUGGGGAUGACGUCAAGUCAUCAUGGCCCUUACGAGUAGGGCUACACACGUGCUACAAUGGCAUAUACAAAGAGAAGCGACCUCGCGAGAGCAAGCGGACCUCAUAAAGUAUGUCGUAGUCCGGAUUGGAGUCUGCAACUCGACUCCAUGAAGUCGGAAUCGCUAGUAAUCGUGGAUCAGAAUGCCACGGUGAAUACGUUCCCGGGCCU
Molecule: ribosomal RNA, 1361 nt
Filed under: uncultured bacterium
Lineage: Bacteria
Description: bacterial SSU rRNA
Rfam family: Bacterial small subunit ribosomal RNA
Source: RNAcentral